RNAcentral lists this small RNA (2059 nucleotides) under Arabidopsis thaliana (thale cress). RNAcentral describes it as "ATSL168410". The record is from RNAcentral. Lineage: Eukaryota; Viridiplantae; Streptophyta; Magnoliopsida; Brassicales; Brassicaceae.
UUUUUUUUGCUUAUUUUAAUUUAUUCAAUUGGUAAUCACCCAUUCCAAUGCAUGGAUUAAAUUAAUCAGAGCAAACAAUUGGAAGUAUACAAGCACCAGAAAACAAACGAUUACAAUUGUUUAAUACAAGAAGCAUAUAACAAACAAUUACAAUUUGUUUAUACAAGAAACGGCUAGCAAUUGCAACAACUACGCAUACUCGAUCAUAGAACACAUAAAACUAUUCAAUUUUUACUAAGGAAUAGACGGAUCUGAACCUUGGCAAACCUAGAAGAUACACAAUGGUGCAGCGGGACUUGAUAGAAAACCUAAGCUCGUUGAUUCGAUGUGAAUGGUCAAACAAAGGGGUGUCUGCAGUUCGUUGAUUCUUGUGAAUACCGAACAAAGACGAACUUGAAAGUCGUUAAUUCCUUAGAAUAGCCGAGAUUCAAGAGAGAAGGGAAGCUUAAAGCUCUGUUUUAAAUUCAAUAAUAAGUUAAGUUCUGCAACUACAAGAGAGUCUUUAUAUAGAGGCGACAAGAAGAAAGAAAACCCUAACAUGUUUGGGAAAAGGAACCGACUAAGACGUAGCUUAAAGCCCAAGUAAGUAAAAGAAGAGAAAUAAAAGAAAGCCCAAGUAGAAGAUUAAAAACAGAGUAUAGGUAUAAGGAUGCGCUGCAUCAGUUCUCCCCGGGUAAGAGAAGAUUUGCCUCUGAAUCUGGAACGUCAUUCUCGACAUGGUACUUAGAUAAAUACUUGACAUUGAAGACGUUGGAGGUGCGAAUGUGCUCCGGAAAGAGAAGACGAUACGCAUUUGGGUUGAUACGCUCAAGAACCUCAACUGGUCCAAUCUUCCUUGAACGUAGCUUGUUGUACUCAUGAGCCGGCAUGCGAUCUCUGGUCAACACCACCCACACGAGAUCUCCGGGAUCGUACAGUACCUCUCUCCGCUUGGUAUCAACUUUACCUUUGUAUUUUGUAGCAGAAAGCUCCAACAGUUUCUUGGCCUGUUCAUGUGUAUCUCGUAAAGAAUUAACAAAGUCCACCGCCUGACCAUGCAUUCGUCGUGUGUCAUGUAAAGCAGUUAAAUCGAGAGGACCACGAGGCAAGAUACUAUACAAGAUCUAAAACGGACUGAAACUCGAGCUCGGAUUUGAUGCAUGAUUAUGAGCAAACUCGGCUUGACAUAAGCGCGUCUCCCAUGAACGAAUAUUAUCCCUAACCAAACACCGUAACAUAUUACCCAAUGCUCGAUUUGUCACCUCUGUUUGACCAUCCGUUUGAGGGUGGUAGGCGGUGCUCAUAUCCAAACUUGUAUGCAACAUCUUCCAUAGUGAACGCCAAAAAUGACUUAGAAAUCGUGUGUCGCAAUCCGAGACGAUGGAGGUCGGUAAACCAUGAAGACGAUAUAUCUCUUGGAAGAACAAUUGAGCGACUCGCACCGCAUCCGUUGCGCGCUUACGCGGAACAAAGUGUGCCAUUUUAGAGAAGCGAUCAUCUACAACAAAAAUAGAAUUAUUACCUUUUUGAAUCCUAGGAAGACCCAAAAUAAAAUCCAUACUCAAGUCAGUCCAUGGUUGCGUUGAAUUGGAAGAGGAAGAUAUAACCCAGCGUUGGUUGCUUGACCCUUUGCUAAUUGACAAGCACGACAAUGUUCCACAAACCUCUCAACAUCCCGUCGAAGCAUUGGCCAAAAAUAUGUAGCUGAAACAAAUUGAAGAGUGCGAUCCCGACCCACAUGUCCUUCGGAGUGGAGCUCUUGAAUGACCCUUAAUCGCGAACUGCAAUUCGGUAUACACAAUUGGAUCCCACGGAACAGAAAACCGUCCGUAAGUGAGUAAUCUGUUCUUCCACUAGCUGCAACAUCUGCCAAAAUGGGACUAAAAAAGGGGUCUGCCUUAUAUAAUUCAGAAAAAGAAGCAAACCCUGGUACCGCCACAUGCAUCGUUGUUAACAACGAAUGACGUCGGCUUAACGCAUUAGCCACUCGAUUCAAUUUACCCGCUUUAUGUCGUAUAGAUAACUUGAAUUGUUGUAAGAAAGCAAUCUAUGAUGCAUGAUCAGAUGACACCUUAUCUUG